This is a long non-coding RNA of Coregonus clupeaformis (lake whitefish), 1333 nucleotides long. RefSeq lists it as uncharacterized. The transcript has 3 exons. The record is from RefSeq and is a predicted model, not a curated record. Lineage: Eukaryota; Metazoa; Chordata; Actinopteri; Salmoniformes; Salmonidae.
GGAAGAAAAUAUCCUGGUUGUAUUACCAGUAUAUUCUCGUCACGGCUUUAUACAUGUUGGAGCCUUGGGAGAGAACCAUCUUCAAAACUCAUCAUAACAGAUUGGCAUCUGAACAAACAGGAUACAGUUUACAGCCGAACUGACAGGGGGACGAUGAUUGGUGUUGAGGUAUGUAUAACGGAUGUAAGUAGAAGGAUCAAAUUAGACAAUAACAGGGUGCUAUGAUUCUAAGCAGGGUUUGUUAAGAGUAAUGACUAAAAACAACAGAGAAGAAGGAGAGUGGGUUUAACAAGAUUGGGCGUAGGGUCUUUUAAUGGAUACAACAUUAUAAAAUAGGUCAGAGGUUCGAGUCCUAAGAUAUGACGACAUUAUAAUGUGAAAAGUUGUGAGGUUCAAGUCCUCAGCAAGCUUAGGGAUAAAGUUUAGAGUCCUUUUGUUAUGAUGUUCAAGUCAUCAACAACAUUUGUUAAGGUUUACGACAUUAUAAAAUAGGUUUAAGUCCUUUGGCGUGAAAGAGUCAUCAUAAAGUGUUAGAUGUGAAGAGUUCAAGGCCUCAACCGUGUUAUAAAAGCCCUAUGAGAAAAUUAGUAUUUUGGUGAAGGUUCAAGUCCUUGGUAUAAGGUUAAUGUCCUUUGUAAAAGCCCUAUGAGUUAAAAUAAGCCAUAAUUGAUCAAGGGAGUGACAGCAAUAUAGAGGAGAAGUACAAAUUAAGGAGGUUCAGUCUUCUGAGAGGUAGAGUACCAUGGUGAAGAGAGAAUUAGUCCUGUGUGAAUUACUCCAAACGGUCAGGACAGAGAGAAAACAAUAAAUCAUACUGCAUAAAGAAUCAGAGAAGAUAUAAGUGAACCUGUUGAAUCAUUGCACCAAAGACAAAAUAGGCAAAAUACAUUUUAAUAAAGAUCAAGGUGGAGAUUUGAUUCAAACAUUUAAUUACUAAUAUUGUAUCAACUAAUAAUAUAUGAGAAUGGGGAGUCAAUUCAGUAUACCGAUUACGGGCAAGACAGUGACAAUAAAGAAUAAAUCAGAGCUAGAUUUACCUCGAAGUGAAUGAAAGGUUAUGACAAUUGUUGCAGACAAAUCCGCAUCUAAAACAUAUCUCUUUUAAAAGUAUUGAAAAUCCGACACCGUGUGACUGGAUGUUAAUUAAAUUAGGCUUUUUCUAUGUGGAACCAUAUCUUAGAGAUUUAUCAGCAGGGACAGAUAAUGACUAUCCUCAUGAUGGUAGUUUUAAAAGGGAUAAAUUACAAGUAGCAAGAAAGUAUAUAAUUGAUCAUACAGCCAUAAGCAACCCGAAAUGGGAUUUAGAUUAUAUGAAAGAGUGUCAUGCCAUGGC